Molecule: non-coding RNA, 21 nt
Filed under: Arabidopsis thaliana (thale cress)
Lineage: Eukaryota; Viridiplantae; Streptophyta; Magnoliopsida; Brassicales; Brassicaceae
Source: RNAcentral
CUUUGCAGACGACUUAAAUAC